GUGUAGCGGUGAAUGCGCAGAUAUCAGGAGGACACCAAUUGGGAAGCAGCUCGCUGGGACGUACUGACGCUGAGACGCGAAAGCGUGGGAGCAAACAGGAUUAGAUACCCUGGUAGUCCACGCUGUAAACGAUGGGCACUAGGUGUGGGGGGUGUCGACUCCCUCCGUGCCGAAGCUAACGCAUUAAGUGCCCCGCCUGGGGAGUACGGCCGCAAGGCUAAAACUCAAAGGAAUUGACGGGGGCCCGCACAAGCAGCGGAGCAUGUGGUUUAAUUCGACGCAACGCGAAGAACCUUACCUGGGCUUGACAUGUUCCUGACCGUCCUGGAAACAGGGCUUCCCUUCGGGGCAGGAUCACAGGUGGUGCAUGGCUGUCGUCAGCUCGUGUCGUGAGAUGUUGGGUUAAGUCCCGCAACGAGCGCAACCCCCGUCGCAUGUUGCCAGCAUUUAGUUGGGGACUCAUGCGAGACUGCCGGUGACAAACCGGAGGAAGGUGGGGAUGACGUCAAGUCAUCAUGCCCCUUAUGUCCAGGGCUACACACGUGCUACAUUGGCGCGUACAGAGGGCUGCGAUACCGCGAGGUGGAGCGAAUCCCUUAAAGCGCGUCUCGGUUCGGAUUGCAGGCUGAAACCCGCCUGCAUGAAGGCGGAGUUGCUAGUAAUCGCGGAUCAGCAUUGCCGCGGUGAAUACGUUCCCGGGCCUUGUACACACCGCCCGUCACACCAUGGAAGCAAGUAACACCCGAAGCCGGUGGCCUAACCCGCAAGGGAGGGAGCUGUCGAAGGUGGGACUCGUGACUGGGGUGAAGUCGUAACAAGGUAACCAAGGG
This 830-nucleotide ribosomal RNA is filed under the name uncultured bacterium. RNAcentral's name for it is "bacterial SSU rRNA". It matches the Rfam family "Bacterial small subunit ribosomal RNA", at positions 673 to 1506 of the family's 1533-position model. The record is from RNAcentral.